ACGGGAGGCAGCAGUGGGGAAUAUUGCACAAUGGGCGAAAGCCUGAUGCAGCGACGCCGCGUGAGCGAUGAAGUAUUUCGGUAUGUAAAGCUCUAUCAGCAGGGAAGAUAAUGACGGUACCUGACUAAGAAGCACCGGCUAAAUACGUGCCAGCAGCCGCGGUAAUACGUAUGGUGCAAGCGUUAUCCGGAUUUACUGGGUGUAAAGGGUGCGUAGGCGGUUUUAUAAGUCUGAUGUGAAAGCCCGGGGCUCAACCCCGGGACUGCAUUGGAAACUGUAGAACUAGAGUGUCGGAGAGGUAAGUGGAAUUCCUAGUGUAGCGGUGAAAUGCGUAGAUAUUAGGAGGAACACCAGUGGCGAAGGCGGCUUACUGGACGAUUACUGACGCUGAGGCACGAAAGCGUGGGGAGCAAACAGGAUUAGAUACCCUGGUA
RNAcentral lists this ribosomal RNA (434 nucleotides) under uncultured Lachnospiraceae bacterium. RNAcentral describes it as "partial 16S ribosomal RNA". It matches the Rfam family "Bacterial small subunit ribosomal RNA", at positions 341 to 792 of the family's 1533-position model. Lineage: Bacteria; Bacillati; Bacillota; Clostridia; Lachnospirales; Lachnospiraceae. The record is from RNAcentral.